UGGGGAUAUUGCGCAAUGGGGGAAACCCUGACGCAGCAACGCCGCGUGAAGGAAGAAGGUUUUCGGAUCGUAAACUUCUUUAAGUGGGGAAGAUAAUGACGGUACCCACAGAAUAAGCCACGGCUAACUACGUGCCAGCAGCCGCGGUAAUACGUAGGUGGCAAGCGUUGUCCGGAUUUACUGGGGUGUAAAGGGCGUGUAGGCGGGGAGGCAAGUCAGAUGUGAAAUACCGAGGCUCAAACUUCGGGGCUGCAUUUGAAACUGUCACUCUUGAGUGCCGGAGAGGAAAGCGGAAUUCCUAGUGUAGCGGUGAAAUGCGUAGAUAUUAGGAGGAACACCGGUGGCGAAGGCGGCUUUCUGGACGGUAACUGACGCUGAGGCGCGAAAGCGUGGGGAGCAAACAGGAUUAGAUACCCUGGUAGU
RNAcentral lists this ribosomal RNA (423 nucleotides) under uncultured Acetivibrio sp. Its description in RNAcentral is "bacterial SSU rRNA". It matches the Rfam family "Bacterial small subunit ribosomal RNA", at positions 356 to 794 of the family's 1533-position model. The record is from RNAcentral. Lineage: Bacteria; Bacillati; Bacillota; Clostridia; Acetivibrionales; Acetivibrionaceae.